AAAAAAAAAAAAAAAAAAGAACAGAUAUAAUUUGUAAAUGUUUGAGCUUUGCUUAGUGAGAAAGGAGGGAGAAU
Molecule: non-coding RNA, 74 nt
Organism: Pangasianodon gigas (Mekong giant catfish)
Lineage: Eukaryota; Metazoa; Chordata; Actinopteri; Siluriformes; Pangasiidae
Source: the annotation of a GenBank genome assembly